GAUGAACGCUGGCGGCGUGCCUAAUACAUGCGAGUCGAGCGAACGGACGAGAAGCUUGCUUCUCUGAUGUUAGCGGCGGACGGGUGAGUAACACGUGGAUAACCUACCUAUAAGACUGGGAUAACUUCGGGAAACCGGAGCUAAUACCGGAUAAUAUUUUGAACCGCAUGGUUCAAAAGUGAAAGACGGUCUUGCUGUCACUUAUAGAUGGAUCCGCGCUGCAUUAGCUAGUUGGUAAGGUAACGGCUUACCAAGGCAACGAUGCAUAGCCGACCUGAGAGGGUGAUCGGCCACACUGGAACUGAGACACGGUCCAGACUCCUACGGGAGGCAGCAGUAGGGAAUCUUCCGCAAUGGGCGAAAGCCUGACGGAGCAACGCCGCGUGAGUGAUGAAGGUCUUCGGAUCGUAAAACUCUGUUAUUAGGGAAGAACAUAUGUGUAAGUAACUGUGCACAGCUUGACGGUACCUAAUCAGAAAGCCACGGCUAACUACGUG
Molecule: ribosomal RNA, 497 nt
Filed under: uncultured bacterium
Lineage: Bacteria
Description: partial 16S ribosomal RNA
Rfam family: Bacterial small subunit ribosomal RNA
Source: RNAcentral